RNAcentral lists this transfer RNA (82 nucleotides) under Nocardioides sp. ChNu-153. Its description in RNAcentral is "tRNA-Leu". It matches the Rfam family "tRNA". Rfam says of the family: Transfer RNA (tRNA) molecules are approximately 80 nucleotides in length. Their secondary structure includes four short double-helical elements and three loops (D, anti-codon, and T loops). Lineage: Bacteria; Bacillati; Actinomycetota; Actinomycetes; Propionibacteriales; Nocardioidaceae. RNAcentral also lists the same sequence under 1 other name. The record is from RNAcentral.
GCCGGAGUGGUGGAACUGGCAGACACGCAGGUCUUAGGAACCUGUGCCCUCGGGCGUGCGGGUUCGAGUCCCGCCUCCGGCA